Molecule: long non-coding RNA, 997 nt
Organism: Paramacrobiotus metropolitanus
Lineage: Eukaryota; Metazoa; Tardigrada; Eutardigrada; Parachela; Macrobiotidae
Exons: 3
Source: RefSeq, a predicted model, not a curated record
GUGCGGGCAUUCUGUGCCGUAACGCUGCUAGACGCAGCACGUCUAUGGAAGAACACGCAAGAGCGCGUUCUUGUCUGCGAUGCUGCAAGGAACCCUCGAGUUCUGUAAUGAUUCUACGGUCAUUGGAACAUGUUGCACAGCGGGAAGAUUGUGCAUGACGACAUGCAGUAGGACUGCAGGAUCGAUGAAUGAAUUCUCUGUUUCGUCGGCUUCCGGAAAGCAGUAUCGCCGUGAAACGCAUGGAUGUCGACAUCCAAAAUUUAUAACUGAAUGCCACAUGUUACCUUUUAUUGAUUUUAUGCUGAGCUGCUAAAAGCGUACUUUUUCAUGAAAUAAUGGCUUUUGCGGGAUAAACGUGUAGCGGAUUGUGUUUUUAUUGUUAAUGGCAUCGCCGCUGUGCUUUGAAAAACAUCGCUGUUACAUACCUGAAUAAAUAUAUUUUACAUCGAUUAGGCAUAUCGAAAUCGGUCAUUUUAGUAUAAAUCUAAGGGUUAUUACAUGGUCUCUAAUAUCUACAUUUGAUUCAAAAGUUACCAAUAAACUAUAUCACAAUUCUGACGAGGGUUGUGUACCGGUCUUAUGAAACCAGCGUCAAGAAGAUCAUCGAAUACUCAUUGGACCAUCUUGGCGUCUAAUCCGUAGACCAGCUACCAUUUACCACGACAGUUUUACCGCAUCUGUUAUGAACUCUGGUUAUAUCUGUACUUGGUACCAAGUUACGAACAUGUCUACGCGCUCCGGUUGUGUGCUGGGAAUAGAACGUAUCACGUUGUACUUGUGUGGCCUAUUGCAACUAAUUUUAUGUUUCAUUGAUAAUCAAUUUACGUUUCAUUGAUAAUCAAUUCGUUUUUUGCUUUUUUGUCCGAAUUUUGUUGUGUGUUCGCAACACCAGCCGGUUGGUUUCUUUAUCGACAAUGGGCAGCACGGUGCCACUUGAAAAGGACGAUCGAUUACUCUCUCGGUUGGUAAAAACAGGUUAUAAAAAUAAUGUCAAUGC